RNAcentral lists this ribosomal RNA (457 nucleotides) under uncultured bacterium. RNAcentral describes it as "bacterial SSU rRNA". It matches the Rfam family "Bacterial small subunit ribosomal RNA", at positions 62 to 543 of the family's 1533-position model. The record is from RNAcentral.
UCGAACGCAUGGCUUCGGCCAUGAGUGGCGAACGGGUGAGUAACACGUAGGUUACGUACCCUCUGGUGGGGAAUAACUUGGGGAAACCUAAGCUAAUACCGCAUGUGUCCUUCGGGAUGAAAGCCUUCGGGCGCCAGAGGAGCGGCCUGCGGCCCAUUAUUUAAUCCUUGUUGGUAGGGUAACGGCCUACCAAGGGUACGAUGGGUAGCUGGUCUGAGAGGAUGAUCAGCCACACUGGAACUGAGACACGGUCCAGACUCCUACGGGAGGCAGCAGUGGGGAAUAUUGGACAAUGGGCGCAAGCCUGAUCCAGCUAUGCCGCGUGGGUGAUGAAGGCCUUCGGGUUGUAAAGCCCUGUCGGGAGGGACGAAACCCUUACGGGUUGACGGUACCUCGCAAGAAAGCACCGGCUAACUCCGUGCCAGCAGCCGCGGUAAUACGGAGGGUGCAAGCGUUG